RNAcentral lists this ribosomal RNA (1423 nucleotides) under uncultured bacterium. Its description in RNAcentral is "16S ribosomal RNA". It matches the Rfam family "Bacterial small subunit ribosomal RNA". The record is from RNAcentral.
AGAGUUUGAUCCUGGCUCAGGAUGAACGCUGGCGGCGUGCCUAAUACAUGCAAGUCGAACGAAACUUCUUUAUCACCGAGUGCUUGCACUCACCGAUAAAGAGUUGAGUGGCGAACGGGUGAGUAACACGUGGGCAACCUGCCCAAAAGAGGGGGAUAACACUUGGAAACAGGUGCUAAUACCGCAUAACCAUAGUUACCGCAUGGUAACUAUGUAAAAGGUGGCUAUGCUACCGCUUUUGGAUGGGCCCGCGGCGCAUUAGCUAGUUGGUGAGGUAAAGGCUUACCAAGGCAAUGAUGCGUAGCCGAACUGAGAGGUUGAUCGGCCACAUUGGGACUGAGACACGGCCCAAACUCCUACGGGAGGCAGCAGUAGGGAAUCUUCCACAAUGGGCGAAAGCCUGAUGGAGCAACGCCGCGUGGGUGAAGAAGGUCUUCGGAUCGUAAAACCCUGUUGUUAGAGAAGAAAGUGCGUGAGAGUAACUGUUCACGUUUCGACGGUAUCUAACCAGAAAGCCACGGCUAACUACGUGCCAGCAGCCGCGGUAAUACGUAGGUGGCAAGCGUUAUCCGGAUUUAUUGGGCGUAAAGGGAACGCAGGCGGUCUUUUAAGUCUGAUGUGAAAGCCUUCGGCUUAACCGGAGUAGUGCAUUGGAAACUGGGAGACUUGAGUGCAGAAGAGGAGAGUGGAACUCCAUGUGUAGCGGUGAAAUGCGUAGAUAUAUGGAAGAACACCAGUGGCGAAAGCGGCUCUCUGGUCUGUAACUGACGCUGAGGUUCGAAAGCGUGGGUAGCAAACAGGAUUAGAUACCCUGGUAGUCCACGCCGUAAACGAUGAAUGCUAAGUGUUGGAGGGUUUCCGCCCUUCAGUGCUGCAGCUAACGCAAUAAGCAUUCCGCCUGGGGAGUACGACCGCAAGGUUGAAACUCAAAGGAAUUGACGGGGGCCCGCACAAGCGGUGGAGUAUGUGGUUUAAUUCGAAGCAACGCGAAGAACCUUACCAGGUCUUGACAUCUUCUGACAAUCCUAGAGAUAGGACUUUCCCUUCGGGGACAGAAUGACAGGUGGUGCAUGGUUGUCGUCAGCUCGUGUCGUGAGAUGUUGGGUUAAGUCCCGCAACGAGCGCAACCCUUAUUGUUAGUUGCCAGCAUUAAGUUGGGCACUCUAGCAAGACUGCCGGUGACAAACCGGAGGAAGGUGGGGAUGACGUCAAAUCAUCAUGCCCCUUAUGACCUGGGCUACACACGUGCUACAAUGGACGGUACAACGAGUCGCAAGACCGCGAGGUUUAGCAAAUCUCUUAAAGCCGUUCUCAGUUCGGAUUGUAGGCUGCAACUCGCCUACAUGAAGUCGGAAUCGCUAGUAAUCGCGGAUCAGCAUGCCGCGGUGAAUACGUUCCCGGGCCUUGUACUCACCGCCCGUCA